CAAACCUCAAGCAACUGCUUGGUAAUUGAGCUUUCGUCUUGUUUAUUCGAGACGUGCUCGAAACUUGUGGGCGGUGCUGACCAGCAUCUUUGCGUAGUCAUAUAAUUUCGCAUCUGAUACAACUGGUUUUGGCUACUCGCCGGAUAAUUCUUGGUUCCUUUUUGGAGUCAUAAUUUUCUUAG
Molecule: unclassified non-coding RNA, 182 nt
Filed under: uncultured Ascomycota
Lineage: Eukaryota; Fungi; Ascomycota
Description: sequence contains ITS2
Source: RNAcentral